CUACGGGGUGCUGCAGUGAGGAAUAUUGCACAAUGGGGGGAACCCUGAUGCAGCAACGCCGCGUGGAGGAUGACGCAUUUCGGUGUGUAAACUCCUUUUAUAUGUCAAGAAAAUGACGGUAGCAUAUGAAUAAGCUCCGGCUAACUCCGUGCCAGCAGCCGCGGUAAUACGGAGGGAGCAAGCGUUACUCGGAAUCACUGGGCGUAAAGGACGCGUAGGCGGGUUGGAAAGUCAGGUGUGAAAUCCUACAGCUUAACUGUAGAACUGCACUUGAAACUUCUAAUCUAGAGUAUGGGAGGGGGAGAUGGAAUUAGUGGUGUAGGGGUAAAAUCCGUAGAUAUCACUAGGAAUACCUAAAGCGAAGGCGAUCUCCUGGAACAUUACUGACGCUAAGGCGUGAAAGCGUGGGGAGCAAACAGGAUUAGAUACCCGGGUAGUC
Molecule: ribosomal RNA, 439 nt
Filed under: uncultured bacterium
Lineage: Bacteria
Description: partial 16S ribosomal RNA
Rfam family: Bacterial small subunit ribosomal RNA
Source: RNAcentral